RNAcentral lists this ribosomal RNA (778 nucleotides) under Bacillus tequilensis. Its description in RNAcentral is "bacterial SSU rRNA". It matches the Rfam family "Bacterial small subunit ribosomal RNA", at positions 68 to 826 of the family's 1533-position model. Lineage: Bacteria; Bacillati; Bacillota; Bacilli; Caryophanales; Bacillaceae. The record is from RNAcentral.
GACAGAUGGGAGCUUGCUCCCUGAUGUUAGCGGCGGACGGGUGAGUAACACGUGGGUAACCUGCCUGUAAGACUGGGAUAACUCCGGGAAACCGGGGCUAAUACCGGAUGGUUGUUUGAACCGCAUGGUUCAAACAUAAAAGGUGGCUUCGGCUACCACUUACAGAUGGACCCGCGGCGCAUUAGCUAGUUGGUGAGGUAACGGCUCACCAAGGCAACGAUGCGUAGCCGACCUGAGAGGGUGAUCGGCCACACUGGGACUGAGACACGGCCCAGACUCCUACGGGAGGCAGCAGUAGGGAAUCUUCCGCAAUGGACGAAAGUCUGACGGAGCAACGCCGCGUGAGUGAUGAAGGUUUUCGGAUCGUAAAGCUCUGUUGUUAGGGAAGAACAAGUACCGUUCGAAUAGGGCGGUACCUUGACGGUACCUAACCAGAAAGCCACGGCUAACUACGUGCCAGCAGCCGCGGUAAUACGUAGGUGGCAAGCGUUGUCCGGAAUUAUUGGGCGUAAAGGGCUCGCAGGCGGUUUCUUAAGUCUGAUGUGAAAGCCCCCGGCUCAACCGGGGAGGGUCAUUGGAAACUGGGGAACUUGAGUGCAGAAGAGGAGAGUGGAAUUCCACGUGUAGCGGUGAACAUGCGUAGAGAUGUGGAGGAACACCAUGGCGAAGGCGACUCUCUGGUCUGUAACUGACGCUGAGGAGCGAAAGCGUGGGGAGCGAACAGUGAUUACAUACCCCUGGUAGUCCACGCCCGUAAACGAUGAGUGCUAAACUGUUA